UUUCUUUUCCCUCUUUAAACAGUCAUCCAGUUUUGGAUUUUUCUUCCUUAUUCCUAACUCUCAAAGUCAUUGUAUUUUAUUUCUUUUGGGUUUAUUUCUCUAAGAUGUUUCCAAUGUCAGUUUUAUUUAAACAAAUAAGAAAGGAUUUCAAAGCACAUUAUCAACUUCCAAAUUGCACAAAGCAUAGUGCGUCCAGAGCAUGCCAGAGAUAGUAUGAUGUAAAGUGGGACAGAAAGUGGUAGUGAAAGUUCCAUCGGUGGGAUGGUGUAGUAAUUUUGUGGGAGAUUCAGAGGUUCAGAUAGAAGGGUCGGAAAUGUAAAAUGACGGUUUGAGUAUAGAGCACUUGGGUCAUCCAAAGUCCUGUGGUUGAGGAUCAGUCAGAAAGUCAAAACUUGGUCAGUUCAAGGCCGCCAGUCAAAGAAAAACACGGCAAGGGAAGAGCCACCUUCAGCAAGAAUGCCACAAACUAACCACCACAUUUUUAAACUAACAAGAUUUUUCUUUGAUUUGAAACAGGGGCAGAAAAUUUUGUUCGUUUCAUAGAAACCCUUCAUAAGGGAAAGGAAAUACCAAACAGGUUUGACCAUAAAUUCUUAGGACCCUCCUGGAUAAUGGGACCUAAUUUAAAUUCAGAACAUUCAUGAGUAACAAGAUCUAACAUAAGUCUUACCCCAAAGAAAUAAAGUUGGCUUUGAAGUUUUCAUCCUUAGGAUAGGAUUCAAUUCGAAAUUUUCAGGAUCCUCCUGAAUAAUGGGACCUAGCUUUAAGACUUCCAUUAGAUGACAAGAUUUAGCUUAAGUUCUACUGUAAGGAAGUAUAAUUUAGCGUUAAAGUUGUCACUCUUAAGAUGAGAUUUGGUUUUAACUUUCAGGACCCUCUUGGAAAAUGGAAUGUAGUUCUAAGACUUUCUUAGAUAACAAGAUUUAGCAGAAGUCAUAUCUUUAGAAGAUAUAAUUUAGCUUUAAAACUGUCAUUUUACUAGGAGUUUUUAGGACCUUUCUGAAUAAUGGGAUCUAGCUUUCAAAUUAUUAGAGAUAUUUGGUAACAUGAUUCAAUUAACACUCACAGAUGUGCCCAGCUACCAAACUGGGGCAAAAGCUUUUCUUUAUUUUGUCUACUUUGUUGAAAUAGGCACCCACCUGGAGAACAAAGGGAAAACAAAUCAAAUUCCAAGGAAAGCGGAUCAGGUUCAAGCAAUCAGGAGCCCACCUGGAGAACAAAGNNNNNNNNNNNNNNNNNNNAACAAAGGGAAGCAGUUCAAGUUUCGAGGAAAAGCAACGCAAGUCUCGGUAAUCAGGAGCCCACCUGGAGAAUGAAUGGAAACAACAAUGUUCAAAGGAAGUGCGGAAAUCAGGAGCCCACCUGGAGAACAAACGGAGAACAAGGAAAGUUUCGGAGGAAAGAAAGAGAAUCAAAUGUUGGAAAUCAGGAGCUCACCUGGAGAACAAAGGGAAGGUAACAGAGGUCAAAGGAAGACGGUUCAAGUUCAGCAAUCAAGCACUCACUUGGAGAAAAGGGAAAGCAUUUCAAAUUACAAUUCAAGUCAUCAACAAAGGAAUUUCACCUGGAGAGUACGAGUCAACAGAGCAAUAGGGAUUGCAAGAUCAAGUUUGAAGAUAUAGAUAGGAUUCUCGUAAUGCAUAGAUCAUAGUUUAGUCUAGAUUCUUUUAUUUUAUCUUGGUGUAAUAAGGAGUUCAGUAAGCAGUAGCAGCAGCAGCAACAGUGAAAUCUCAGCUUCCUGGUAGUCCCAACUACCGAAACUUUCUGAACUACACCGACCUGAUUCCUUUAUAGCCAAGAGUAUGUAGGCAAUCUCGGAAGCAGGGUGCGGUCAAAUCUUUCAAAAAUACUUCCCACGGAGUAUUCAAACGGGCAAAAAUCGCUCGUAUCCGCUCACUUUGUCUUUGCAUGAAAACUCUGCGUGUUUCCGGGCAAAGAGGGGCAGCUAUGAGCACGUGAUUUUUUUCCUAUAUGAAUUACUCCCAUAAAUUCAAGAAAAAUAAAUUUUUCCCAUUAUUCACAAUUUCGUAGAUUUUAGUAGCAUUUUGUUAAUUGUUUUCAUUUGUCUGUACAUGUUUAAUUUUACUUAAUUCAUGAAAAUACAAAAAUAUAUUGCAUUUGCAUUUAGGAUUUAAUUUUACAUUUUUAGGUUAAUUAGCAAUUUAGUUGUCUUAUAAAAAUGAUUAAAAUCACAAAAAUAAUUCUUUUUUCAUAUGUAACUUUUCAUUUUGAAUUUUAUAGUUUUUCUUUUUAUUUAGGAUUUAAUUAAUUAUUGAAAAUACUAUGUUGAGUGAUUAGUUUAAUUUGGUAAGUUAUUUUAAUGUAAGAGUUAUUUUAGUUUAAUUUAAAAAAGGAAAAGAAAAAAAGAAGAAGAAGAAAGACAAUUGAAUUGAAAAGAAAGGAAAAUAAAAUAAAAGGGCUGAUUGAUUUUGGGCCACUGAUAUCGCAGCUCUAAUGAUUUCCCCUUCCAAACCCAUUCAGGUCGGCCCACUCUCCACCCCAAUACCCGGUCCAACCCCGCAAAUUCACACGGCAUUGUUCCGUGAAAUGAAAGAUCUGAGCCGUUGAUCUCUUUCAAUCCAACGGCCAAGGAACGCCCCUCUCCCUUUGUUAUAAUUGUCCAAACUUCAGAGAGUACCUCGUAUCUCUACACUUCAUCUCCUCAAUCUCUCUCAUCUCUAACCCUACACCCACCGCCCUGAAUUUCUUCACCAUCUCCAACCGGCAGUGGAGCUCAAACUACUACCAAAAUCUAAUCACAUAACCACCACUCAUCCCUGAGUCCCAAUCCACCACCACAUAUCCUCAAAUCCCUACCAAAUCGGGUCAGAUUCAAAUCUAAAAGAAGAAGAAGAAAAAGAAAAUCUCCCCAAGUUCUCAAGUUAAUGAUUAGGUCUAAAAUCGGUAUUGAUCGUCUGUUCUCAACGAGAACACGUGACUGAUGCCAAUUUCGAGUCAAAUUGAAGUCGCCUGAGGUUUGCCAAGCCUUGUCCAUGUGACCAUUUAGGUAUUUCUGUUC
RNAcentral lists this long non-coding RNA (3019 nucleotides) under Nicotiana tabacum (common tobacco). Its description in RNAcentral is "long non-coding RNA (NTAB_LNC000045)". Lineage: Eukaryota; Viridiplantae; Streptophyta; Magnoliopsida; Solanales; Solanaceae. The record is from RNAcentral.